GCCACUUUAUAUAAACCCUGCCCUGAUUCAGGAUCCUAGCUGGGAGCGACUCCCUUCCAGGGUCCCCUGACUCAAAAGCAAGGAAAUGGGAAAGGCGAAAGUCCUAGAACAAAGCCAUCUUUUGCGUCUCAACACCGAGAACAGAAGCGUGGGGGGCCGACAGCGAAGGGCCUAACGUCCAAGCACUCACCUGCGCGGGGUCCCGCAGCGCCGCCGCCGCCAUCGGAGUCUGUGGCUCAGCCGGCAGAGAGAAGAAAAGCAGCUGGACAUUGGAGACUGUGGUUGGAUGUUGGAGAGAAGCAGCCUGACUUCAAAGGGACAGCUUGACAGCGUAGCUUUGGAAAGGAUGGCCAGGGAUGGCCAAACUUCAGGGGAUGAUUACCUUCCUGCUCCAUCCCCUUUUCAGCUCCUCUUCCUGCUGAGAGCCACUUUCACUGGCAAUAAAA
RNAcentral lists this long non-coding RNA (446 nucleotides) under Pan troglodytes (chimpanzee). Its description in RNAcentral is "long non-coding RNA NONPTRT008077". Lineage: Eukaryota; Metazoa; Chordata; Mammalia; Primates; Hominidae. The record is from RNAcentral.